GACGAACGCUGGCGGCGUGCUUAACACAUGCAAGUCGAGCGGUAAGGCUCCUUCGGGAGUACACGAGCGGCGAACGGGUGAGUAACACGUGAGCAAUCUGCCCUUCCUCUUCGGAAUAAGCGUUGGAAACGACGUCUAAUGCCGAAUACGACCUCCUUUCGUCAUGAUCGGAGGUGGAAAGCUCCGGCGGAGAAGGAUGAGCUCGCGGCCUAUCAGCUAGUUGGGU
Molecule: ribosomal RNA, 226 nt
Filed under: uncultured bacterium
Lineage: Bacteria
Description: partial 16S ribosomal RNA
Rfam family: Bacterial small subunit ribosomal RNA
Source: RNAcentral